This 195-nucleotide long non-coding RNA is filed under the name Macaca mulatta (Rhesus monkey). RNAcentral describes it as "lncRNA (ENSMMUG00000063616.1)". Lineage: Eukaryota; Metazoa; Chordata; Mammalia; Primates; Cercopithecidae. The record is from RNAcentral.
AUGAAGCACUUGCUCAACUUUGAACCAAAUUCUAGAGAGUGUCCCAGAAUGAAAACCCAAGAUGAUGGAGGAGUGUCCGCUCGUGAUGUGAAGCACCUGCUCAGCUGGGAACUGAAUUUGAGAAUGAAAUCCCAGGAUGAUGGUGGAGUGUCCCCUCAUGAUGUGAAUAACUGCUUGACUGGGAACCAAAUUUAA